Molecule: long non-coding RNA, 2028 nt
Filed under: Mytilus galloprovincialis (Mediterranean mussel)
Lineage: Eukaryota; Metazoa; Mollusca; Bivalvia; Mytilida; Mytilidae
Source: RNAcentral
GGAUAAUUGUCGUACUAUAAACAUAAUCUACAUUUUGAUUGACCUAGUCAUCAAUCGAGGACAUAUAUAUAUAUAAAUACAAUUUGAUAUUGAUAAAAGAUUUUUAAAUGUUGAUUGACAGUAGUAAAUUAGUUCACCGAUUUGAAGUUUAUUUUAACAAUUAGGUGGUGUCAAUUAUAAUUUAAUCUUCACAAUCUGUGCUUAUGUGCAAGGUUUUGAAACCUUAUGUAAACAAUUUAAAUGCCUUUAAAGUAAAUAGUCACUCUAAAAUUAUAGCUAAAAGUCAUGGUGAAAUAUGUAUCUGCUUUUGAAAUGUUCAGUGUCUGUAUACAUAAGUUACAAAUAUUACAAAACAUGUAUUACAAAUGAUCAGAAGUUAUAACUGGUGUAAAAAGAUUAUUUAAGAGGUUAAUAAUAAUUUUGUAAAUAUUCUAACAUUAAUUGUUUUCUUUCUUUAUGAAGGCUACAAUUACAAAAACCUAAUACAGAUUCGUUCAGUGCCGUGAAAAAUUAAAUAGUUCGUAUGCAGAAACUGUUUAAAUGCAUAUUGAUCUUAGGUGCUCCGUAAGGGUAAGUAGAUACUGCUCCAUUAGUGGUGCGUGUCGUGUUGCUCUCGCAAGUGUAAACGAGAUGAUAAGUACACACCGCAAAGGUCUAAGCUUCGGUAGGUAAAGUUUGUAGGAAAGAAGACGAGAUUGUUUACACAUCCAUGUCAAUAUAAAGGAAUUUGAUGCGACUGUCAUACAAGUGAGAGAGUUAGCUACCUAUAAACAUGAUAAAACCAGGUUCAAUUCCCCAUUUUCUACACAAUAAAAUGCCUGUACCAAGGCAGGAAUAUGACAGAUAUUCAUUAUUUUUGUGAUUUUAAUUUUUGCAAUAAGUAUGUGAUUCAGGAAUCAAUGCAUGCGUUCAACUUCAAAAUUAAGGUAUAGCUUUACACAAAUGCGUUUAAUGUUUGUAGUGAAAAAGCUAAGAAACACACCUCAAGAAUCAUUUGCCCUGUUUUACUUUAAACUCUUUUUGUCCUUUGGUAUGUACAACAAUACAAACCUUAUAAACAACCUCUUGUUUCAGACAGCAUAAUCUGGUCUUUCUAUAAUUAUCUUAAUGACAGACCUUUGUUUCUCUCUUCCUUUUUUUUUUGGUUCACUUAAAUUUAAAAAUUAGUUCUAAGGGUGCCUUCUUUUAUUUUCUGGAAAAGCAUGAAUAUGGAUAAACGCGCGUAUCUGUCAUAAAUUUAGGCUGCAUGUGUUUGGCCUCCUAUGUUAUUCGACAUUUGUUAUCGUUCAAGAAUAAGUGAUCUGAUGUAUUCACUAAGUGUUAACCCUUUGAAAGACAUAUAUGUUAAUAUGUGAUAUGGACGAGUGUCACUAAUUGAAACCUCUAGUUAUCCGUCUGUCUUUUUCGUGAUUUUUUUCUUUUUUUACCUAAACAUGCUAAAUGUGUAGUAAUCUGCAAAAAAGGUUAUUUAGAAAUUCAUUGAUUCUUUCUUGUUUCAUAGGAAAAAACGUUUACACAAUAUCUGUAUCAUAACGUAGUACACAAUUAUAUAUAUAUAUUUAUCAUAUACUUAGCAUUAAUAUGAUAGCUUUUGCAUAUGUGUAACGAACGGAAGUACACAAGCCAUAAUUUCCCACCCAGGCUGAUAACCCAUAUCAGCCCGGUCUGAUAACCCAUAUCAGGGGCGUCUCGUGCAAAAACCCAUAACAGUGCUUCUCGUGCAAGUUACUUCCGGUGUUUCCGGUAUCGGUUGUUUAUUUUUUCCAUUGUGACGUCAGAUAUUGAUGACGACGUCAAAAUUUACGGGAACAGUUUUGUGGGGAUAGUUUAGUACUUACUAACAAAUACCAUUGGCAAUUAUGAAUCAUUUUAUAGUACAACAAACAUGGAGUAAUAAUGAUCAUGAAACUCUUCCAACUACUCAAUGUUUCAAAAUGCCUCUAUAGGAAAUGUUACCAUAAAAUGUACAUAUAUGUAUAUGGAGGUAGUGAUGCUGUUGGUUGCAUUGACAGUUGUAGUAUAUUGGAU